AAAAAAAGCAAUUUGAAAAAGAUGACUGCUGGAAAGUUUUCAAAGACAGGAUUAUUAUCAUGGAGAUAUUAAUAGGUCCGCCAGUUGUCCAACUGAAACUUUCAGAUUUUUGAACCGUGCAGCCCUAAAAAUUGAAGGAGACAGAUUAACGGAUAGAUCGAAUGCAAGAUCUUGGUGGCUAUGUACGGUGGAGGAAAUGGAAGAUUUCAACACUCUAAUCAAAAUCUUGCCACUGGUCUCCCGGCAUUGUGCUAACCAUGGACAGGUGUCAAUGAUUUAAAACUCAUUACUCCACUGUCAGCUCCUCCUGUUUUUUUGAAUUAUAACCCAUAUAAACUAAGAACAAUAGCGAUAAUGAUUUAAAACUUUUCAGGUUAUAUAAGUGAUUAGGUAUAAAAAAUAUAAAAAAGUUUAUACUCGGCUUAUUUUCAAA
Molecule: long non-coding RNA, 433 nt
Organism: Populus euphratica (Euphrates poplar)
Lineage: Eukaryota; Viridiplantae; Streptophyta; Magnoliopsida; Malpighiales; Salicaceae
Exons: 2
Source: RefSeq, a predicted model, not a curated record